Callorhinchus milii (elephant shark) is the source of this 342-nucleotide long non-coding RNA. RefSeq lists it as uncharacterized. The record is from RefSeq and is a predicted model, not a curated record. Lineage: Eukaryota; Metazoa; Chordata; Chondrichthyes; Chimaeriformes; Callorhinchidae. The transcript has 4 exons.
AGAGGAUUUUUGGACCCAUCUGCCAAUUGGAUAUUGUUGGUGACAUUACGUUCAAUUCCCAGCCAAAACCAAAGUUGGACUGGGUACAGGUCGAUUAAACCUGAUACAGGUCUCGUUUUCAUAUUAACUGAUGUCCAGUGACUUGCUCUGUUUAUCCUCCACAGUUUGUCACAACUCCAACACUGUGUACGUAUUUUUGCUGACAUAUUGGUGCUCAGAGAUCUCUCUGGUGGCAUUAACCAUGGACUUACAUGUUUUAAAAUACGACCUUCACACUUUGACUCUGAAAUUAUCUUCACGAGAAGGAUUUCCAACAGCCAGUUUCACAGCUAUGUGAGAGGU